Molecule: ribosomal RNA, 310 nt
Filed under: uncultured bacterium
Lineage: Bacteria
Description: partial 16S ribosomal RNA
Rfam family: Bacterial small subunit ribosomal RNA
Source: RNAcentral
AAGAGACAGCAGUAGCCACGGGAAUACAGAGGGUGCGAGCGUUAAUCGGAUUUACUGGGCGUAAAGCGUGCGUAGGCGGCUUCUUAAGUCGGAUGUGAAAUCCCUGAGCUUAACUUAGGAAUUGCAUUCGAUACUGGGAAGCUAGAGUAUGGGAGAGGAUGGUAGAAUUCCAGGUGUAGCGGUGAAAUGCGUAGAGAUCUGGAGGAAUACCGAUGGCGAAGGCAGCCAUCUGGCCUAAUACUGACGCUGAGGUACGAAAGCAUGGGGAGCAAACAGGAUUAGAUACCCCCGUAGUCCCUGUCUCUUAUAC